CUAUUUAUUUCGCUUCCGCACUAAAUUCAUAAUUUAUUUUCUUUAGAAUUUUUGAGGUCGUUACAGUUGGUAUCAAUGUCAGGUUUCUCAAACCCAUUCCUUACACAAAAUCCUUAGGAAACAUAAAAAAACAAUGAAUUAUCACUCAAUCGUUCCUCAUAAAAUGCAUGUACAAAUAGAUGAGGAGAGGAAGGCCCUCACUAAACUGAGUAGCCCGGGAGGGUUCACUACGAGAGGAUGUUGACCAGUUAUUUGAGAUGCUGAAUAGACUUAUCGCUGCCCAACAAGCCCGGAAAGAAAGGAGAGAGCUACCUGACCAUCUCCCACUGCCAUAGGUUGAGCCACCUCUGAAGCGAGAGGAUUCCGAGACACCCCGGUACAACCAUGCUCCUCUACAGUACCACCCGGCACCACUUCAAUAUGAUCUGGUGCCCCAGCCACAGUAUCACCUUACACGAUCAUAAU
RNAcentral lists this long non-coding RNA (465 nucleotides) under Carica papaya (papaya). RNAcentral's name for it is "long non-coding RNA (CPAP_LNC016527)". Lineage: Eukaryota; Viridiplantae; Streptophyta; Magnoliopsida; Brassicales; Caricaceae. The record is from RNAcentral.